CCAAAUGCAGGACGCUGAGACAGAGGAAUAAACUCAAAGUGCUGCUUUAUUGCUGAAAAAACUAACAUUGACUACAAAACUAAACUGGAAAGAAGAAACUUCAACUAGAAACCAAACUUGGAAUUUGAACAGGAGCACAAGUGAAACACAGAGCAAGGAAAACACAGGGCUUAAUACACACCGGAGUAAUCAGGGAAUGAGACACAGAAGGAGAGCACAGCUGGGAGUAAUCAGAGGUAACAAGACAAGGAUACAUUCUCUUCAGCAGCAGGUUGACUGUGCCCAAACCAGCGUGGAUAACCUUGUGCUAAAUAUCAACAGCAGUGAAGACAUCCCGCAGGAUCAAAAGCUGCUGAAACAAAAAAAGGCAGAUCCCCAUCUUUUUGUAAACACUCAGUCGCAUGACUCCUUUAUGACAGCGGAUGAAGAGCCACAGACGAUAAAGUACGAAGAAAACGCACCACAAAAGGAGUGUAUUAACUGUCAACAAGCAAUGAAAACUCUGCUGUCCUCCCAAGAGGAGUGUGAGGCACUUAAAAAGGAGAUCUGCGAAACCCUGAAAUGCAUUGAUGAGGAGCGAAGCAAAUUCCACAAGAUGAAGCAAAAACACAAGGCCAAACUUUGCAGAGCCAAACAGAAAUUUGAAGAUGAAACCACAUGGCGUGAUGAGAAGAUAAAAAGUCUAGAGAGAGAAUUGUCCUUGUGCUGUCAUUCAGUAGCAAAGGAGAAGGAGCUUGUCAUAAGCAUAACUGUGGAAAAUGAGAAACUACUCUCUGAGAGGAGGAAGCUACUGCAACAGCUAAACGAGGAGGAGCACAAGAAGAAGGAUAGUUGUCUAAAAGCUUCUUUAUCCAAAUGCAGGGUGGAACUUUUAGAGCUGGAAAACAAGAAACUCGGAAACCAAAUAUCACAAAUGUCCAACCAGCUCGCUGUCCUGGAGUUCAGCCUGCAGAAGACACAGCUGCUUCACUUUGCUGAGAAACUUAAGAAAAUGCCAGAUGACCAGCAAGUUUUCAAGUCUCUUCCUCAGCAGUCUUCAAGUGUGAUUUCACCCGAGCUGUCUGAAGCUCAGGGCUUGUUGGAUGGUACACUUAGAGGUCACUCCAAGCAGACAGAUGGGACUUGUUACAGUCAUGCGUCUGAGAUUUUGUGUCAGUCAGCAGAUAUGAGCUACCUGAACCUGACCUCCACACAAAAAAACCACUUGGACCGCUCACCUCCCCUGGCUGCCCUCAGCAGCCUUGAAAAUCUGCCUUCCUGAAGUUUUCUGUUUUGAGUGUGAUCAUGAACUAUUUUAUUUGUAUGUUAAAUUAAUAAAUAAGAUACAAAAUGGGUUUGAAUUUCAUUAAAUCAAAUUAAACCAGCCUGA
Long non-coding RNA from Oreochromis aureus, 1369 nucleotides. Lineage: Eukaryota; Metazoa; Chordata; Actinopteri; Cichliformes; Cichlidae. The record is from Ensembl.